GAUGAAGAACGUAGCGAAAUGCGAUACGUAAUGUGAAUUGCAGAAUUCAGUGAAUCAUCGAGUCUUUGAACGCACAUUGCGCCCUUUGGUAUUCCGAAGGGCAUGCCUGUUCGAGCGUCAUUAUCACCCCUCAAGCCCUCGGCUUGGUGUUGGACGGUUUGGUGGAGGCCCCCUCGGGGGUUCCUGCCCCUCCCAAAGACAAUGACGGCGGCCUCGUUGGACCCCCGGUACACUGAGUUCUUCACGGGACACGUAUCGGACACAUGGGUUUACGGGACACGGUCUGCCUCCCCUCAGGGAGAAUCUUUCUAAGGUUGACCUCGGAUCAGGUAGGGAUACCCGCUGAACUUAAGCAUAUCAAUAAGCGGAGGA
This 372-nucleotide unclassified non-coding RNA is filed under the name soil metagenome. Its description in RNAcentral is "partial contains 5.8S ribosomal RNA, internal transcribed spacer 2, and large subunit ribosomal RNA". The stretch from base 1 to 120 matches the Rfam family "5.8S ribosomal RNA", at positions 35 to 154 of the family's 154-position model. The record is from RNAcentral.